CGCGUGAGCAACCUGCCCAUAAGAGGGGGAUAACAGCUGGAAACGGCUGCUAAUACCGCAUAAGACCACAUUGCCACAUGGCAGAGGGGUCAAAGAUUUAUCGCUUAUGGAUGGGCUCGCGUCUGAUUAGCUAGUUGGUAGGGUAACGGCCUACCAAGGCGACGAUCAGUAGCCGACCUGAGAGGGUGAUCGGCCACACUGGAACUGAGACACGGUCCAGACUCCUACGGAAGGCAGCAG
RNAcentral lists this ribosomal RNA (240 nucleotides) under uncultured bacterium. RNAcentral describes it as "partial 16S ribosomal RNA". It matches the Rfam family "Bacterial small subunit ribosomal RNA", at positions 114 to 354 of the family's 1533-position model. The record is from RNAcentral.